RNAcentral lists this ribosomal RNA (2926 nucleotides) under Escherichia coli. RNAcentral's name for it is "bacterial LSU rRNA". It matches the Rfam family "Bacterial large subunit ribosomal RNA". The record is from RNAcentral. Lineage: Bacteria; Pseudomonadati; Pseudomonadota; Gammaproteobacteria; Enterobacterales; Enterobacteriaceae.
GGGUUGUGAGGUUAAGCGACUAAGCGUACACGGUGGAUGCCCUGGCAGUCAGAGGCGAUGAAGGACGUGCUAAUCUGCGAUAAGCGUCGGUAAGGUGAUAUGAACCGUUAUAACCGGCGAUUUCCGAAUGGGGAAACCCAGUGUGUUUCGACACACUAUCAUUAACUGAAUCCAUAGGUUAAUGAGGCGAACCGGGGGAACUGAAACAUCUAAGUACCCCGAGGAAAAGAAAUCAACCGAGAUUCCCCCAGUAGCGGCGAGCGAACGGGGAGCAGCCCAGAGCCUGAAUCAGUGUGUGUGUUAGUGGAAGCGUCUGGAAAGGCGCGCGAUACAGGGUGACAGCCCCGUACACAAAAAUGCACAUGCUGUGAGCUCGAUGAGUAGGGCGGGACACGUGGUAUCCUGUCUGAAUAUGGGGGGACCAUCCUCCAAGGCUAAAUACUCCUGACUGACCGAUAGUGAACCAGUACCGUGAGGGAAAGGCGAAAAGAACCCCGGCGAGGGGAGUGAAAAAGAACCUGAAACCGUGUACGUACAAGCAGUGGGAGCACGCUUAGGCGUGUGACUGCGUACCUUUUGUAUAAUGGGUCAGCGACUUAUAUUCUGUAGCAAGGUUAACCGAAUAGGGGAGCCGAAGGGAAACCGAGUCUUAACUGGGCGUUAAGUUGCAGGGUAUAGACCCGAAACCCGGUGAUCUAGCCAUGGGCAGGUUGAAGGUUGGGUAACACUAACUGGAGGACCGAACCGACUAAUGUUGAAAAAUUAGCGGAUGACUUGUGGCUGGGGGUGAAAGGCCAAUCAAACCGGGAGAUAGCUGGUUCUCCCCGAAAGCUAUUUAGGUAGCGCCUCGUGAAUUCAUCUCCGGGGGUAGAGCACUGUUUCGGCAAGGGGGUCAUCCCGACUUACCAACCCGAUGCAAACUGCGAAUACCGGAGAAUGUUAUCACGGGAGACACACGGCGGGUGCUAACGUCCGUCGUGAAGAGGGAAACAACCCAGACCGCCAGCUAAGGUCCCAAAGUCAUGGUUAAGUGGGAAACGAUGUGGGAAGGCCCAGACAGCCAGGAUGUUGGCUUAGAAGCAGCCAUCAUUUAAAGAAAGCGUAAUAGCUCACUGGUCGAGUCGGCCUGCGCGGAAGAUGUAACGGGGCUAAACCAUGCACCGAAGCUGCGGCAGCGACACUAUGUGUUGUUGGGUAGGGGAGCGUUCUGUAAGCCUGUGAAGGUGUGCUGUGAGGCAUGCUGGAGGUAUCAGAAGUGCGAAUGCUGACAUAAGUAACGAUAAAGCGGGUGAAAAGCCCGCUCGCCGGAAGACCAAGGGUUCCUGUCCAACGUUAAUCGGGGCAGGGUGAGUCGACCCCUAAGGCGAGGCCGAAAGGCGUAGUCGAUGGGAAACAGGUUAAUAUUCCUGUACUUGGUGUUACUGCGAAGGGGGGACGGAGAAGGCUAUGUUGGCCGGGCGACGGUUGUCCCGGUUUAAGCGUGUAGGCUGGUUUUCCAGGCAAAUCCGGAAAAUCAAGGCUGAGGCGUGAUGACGAGGCACUACGGUGCUGAAGCAACAAAUGCCCUGCUUCCAGGAAAAGCCUCUAAGCAUCAGGUAACAUCAAAUCGUACCCCAAACCGACACAGGUGGUCAGGUAGAGAAUACCAAGGCGCUUGAGAGAACUCGGGUGAAGGAACUAGGCAAAAUGGUGCCGUAACUUCGGGAGAAGGCACGCUGAUAUGUAGGUGAAGUCCCUCGCGGAUGGAGCUGAAAUCAGUCGAAGAUACCAGCUGGCUGCAACUGUUUAUUAAAAACACAGCACUGUGCAAACACGAAAGUGGACGUAUACGGUGUGACGCCUGCCCGGUGCCGGAAGGUUAAUUGAUGGGGUUAGCCGCAAGGCGAAGCUCUUGAUCGAAGCCCCGGUAAACGGCGGCCGUAACUAUAACGGUCCUAAGGUAGCGAAAUUCCUUGUCGGGUAAGUUCCGACCUGCACGAAUGGCGUAAUGAUGGCCAGGCUGUCUCCACCCGAGACUCAGUGAAAUUGAACUCGCUGUGAAGAUGCAGUGUACCCGCGGCAAGACGGAAAGACCCCGUGAACCUUUACUAUAGCUUGACACUGAACAUUGAGCCUUGAUGUGUAGGAUAGGUGGGAGGCUUUGAAGUGUGGACGCCAGUCUGCAUGGAGCCGACCUUGAAAUACCACCCUUUAAUGUUUGAUGUUCUAACGUUGACCCGUAAUCCGGGUUGCGGACAGUGUCUGGUGGGUAGUUUGACUGGGGCGGUCUCCUCCUAAAGAGUAACGGAGGAGCACGAAGGUUGGCUAAUCCUGGUCGGACAUCAGGAGGUUAGUGCAAUGGCAUAAGCCAGCUUGACUGCGAGCGUGACGGCGCGAGCAGGUGCGAAAGCAGGUCAUAGUGAUCCGGUGGUUCUGAAUGGAAGGGCCAUCGCUCAACGGAUAAAAGGUACUCCGGGGAUAACAGGCUGAUACCGCCCAAGAGUUCAUAUCGACGGCGGUGUUUGGCACCUCGAUGUCGGCUCAUCACAUCCUGGGGCUGAAGUAGGUCCCAAGGGUAUGGCUGUUCGCCAUUUAAAGUGGUACGCGAGCUGGGUUUAGAACGUCGUGAGACAGUUCGGUCCCUAUCUGCCGUGGGCGCUGGAGAACUGAGGGGGGCUGCUCCUAGUACGAGAGGACCGGAGUGGACGCAUCACUGGUGUUCGGGUUGUCAUGCCAAUGGCACUGCCCGGUAGCUAAAUGCGGAAGAGAUAAGUGCUGAAAGCAUCUAAGCACGAAACUUGCCCCGAGAUGAGUUCUCCCUGACUCCCUGAGAGUCCUGAAGGAACGUUGAAGACGACGACGUUGAUAGGCCGGGUGUGUAAGCGCAGCGAUGCGUUGAGCUAACCGGUACUAAUGAACCGUGAGGCUUAACCUUACAACGCCGAAG